AUUGAACGCUGGCGGCAUGCCUUACACAUGCAAGUCGAACGGUAACAGGUCUUCGGAUGCUGACGAGUGGCGAACGGGUGAGUAAUACAUCGGAACGUGCCUAGUAGUGGGGGAUAACUACUCGAAAGAGUGGCUAAUACCGCAUGAGAUCUACGGAUGAAAGCAGGGGAUCGCAAGACCUUGUGCUACUAGAGCGGCCGAUGGCAGAUUAGGUAGGUGGUGGGAUAAAAGCUUACCAAGCCGACGAUAUGUAGCUGGUCUGAGAGGACGAUCAGCCACACUGGGACUGAGAAGCGGCCCAGACUCCUACGGGAGGCAGCAAUGGGGAAUUUUGGACAAUGGGCGCAAGCCUGAUCCAGCAAUGCCGCGUGCAGGAUGAAGGCCUUCGGGUUGUAAACUGCUUUUGUACGGAACGAAAAGCCCCGGGUUAAUACCCUGGGGUCAUGACGGUACCGUAAGAAUAAGCACCGGCUAACUACGUGCCAGCCGCCGCCGUAA
RNAcentral lists this ribosomal RNA (498 nucleotides) under uncultured bacterium. RNAcentral describes it as "partial 16S ribosomal RNA". It matches the Rfam family "Bacterial small subunit ribosomal RNA", at positions 30 to 523 of the family's 1533-position model. The record is from RNAcentral.